RNAcentral lists this long non-coding RNA (728 nucleotides) under Ananas comosus (pineapple). Its description in RNAcentral is "long non-coding RNA (ACOM_LNC009238)". Lineage: Eukaryota; Viridiplantae; Streptophyta; Magnoliopsida; Poales; Bromeliaceae. The record is from RNAcentral.
AACCAGGAAAAACUUGAAAUACCACCCCUGUGGUUUCACAUUUUCUCACUUUAGUAUCAUGUAGUUUAAAGUGUAUCAAUUUAGUGUUCUGUGGUUUAAUUUUUAUCUUUUUAUAAUUCAUUUCACUAAUUUUUUUCGUUAAAUCAGUGACAAAGUUAAAACUAAAGGGUACUGAAGUGAAUAUUCGAUAAAUCUAGGUGGGGUAUCUGAAGUUUUUUUGUAUAUAAUUUAACAAAAUAUUAACGGAGAAACUGACGAAAAGAUAAAAAUAAAACCAUAGGGGACUAACUUGAUACACUUUAAACCAAAAGGUACUAAAAUAAAAAAGUGCGAAAUCACAUGGGUGUUAUUUGAAGUUUACUCUAUAAAUCAAUAUUCAAAUCAGAUAUAUAUUAGGCCAAUUUGUAUAAAAAAUCCACUUAUUUUGCGCUUUUGCAAAAUCGGGCCAUCUUUUUGGCUUUUGCAGAUUCGGUCCGCUUUUUCAGCAAACUGACCAAAAUACCCUUAUACCUUUUUCUCUUUCCUCUUUCUCUCUCCUCUUUUUUUUUCUCGUUCUUUUUUCUUUUUCUUCCCAGAGCGGCGAAGACGGAGCGGAGGUGCCCUUAUACCUUUUUCUUUUCUUUUUUUUCUCUCGUUCUUUUUUUUCUCUCUCUUCCCAGAGAGCGGCGAAGACAGAGCGGCGUCGCCGCCGGCGCCCCCACCUUCCUCGCCUCCGAUCCCCCUAAGGC